This 431-nucleotide ribosomal RNA is filed under the name uncultured bacterium. RNAcentral describes it as "partial 16S ribosomal RNA". It matches the Rfam family "Bacterial small subunit ribosomal RNA", at positions 29 to 507 of the family's 1533-position model. The record is from RNAcentral.
AACGAACGCUGGCGGCAGGCUUAACACAUGCAAGUCGAGCGCCCCGCCAGGGGCGCGGCAGCCGGGUGAGUAACGCGUGGCAACUUACCUUUUGGUUCGGAACAACUCCGGGAAACUGGAGCUACUUCCGGAUACGCCCUAACGGGGAAAGAUGUAUCGUCGAACGAUCGGCCCGCGUCUGAUUAGCUAGUUGGUGAGGUCACGGCUCACUAACGCGACGAUCAGUAGUUGGUCUGAGAGGAUGAUCAGCCAAACUGGGCCUGAGACACGGCCCAGACUCCUACGGGAGGGAGGAGUGGGGGAUAGAGGACAAUGGGGGCAAGCCUGAUCGAGCCAUGCCGGGUGAGUGAUGAAGGCCGUAGGGUUGUAAAGCUCUUUUGUCCGGGAAGAUAAUGACGGUACCGGAAGAAUAAGCCCCGGCUAACUUCGUG